AGAGUUUGAUCCUGGCUCAGGACGAACGCUGGCGGCGUGCCUAAUACAUGCAAGUCGAGCGAAUCAUUGGGAGCUUGCUCCUGAUGGUUAGCGGCGGACGGGUGAGUAACACGUGGGCAACCUGCCUGUAAGACUGGGAUAACACCGGGAAACCGGUGCUAAUACCGGAUAAUUCUUUCCCUCACAUGAGGGAAAGCUGAAAGUCGGUUUCGGCUGACACUUACAGAUGGGCCCGCGGCGCAUUAGCUAGUUGGUGAGGUAACGGCUCACCAAGGCGACGAUGCGUAGCCGACCUGAGAGGGUGAUCGGCCACACUGGGACUGAGACACGGCCCAGACUCCUACGGGAGGCAGCAGUAGGGAAUCUUCCGCAAUGGACGAAAGUCUGACGGAGCAACGCCGCGUGAGUGAUGAAGGCCUUCGGGUCGUAAAACUCUGUUGUUAGGGAAGAACAAGUACCGGAGUAACUGCCGGUACCUUGACGGUACCUAACCAGAAAGCCACGGCUAACUACGUGCCAGCAGCCGCGGUAAUACGUAGGUGGCAAGCGUUGUCCGGAAUUAUUGGGCGUAAAGCGCGCGCAGGCGGUCCUUUAAGUCUGAUGUGAAAGCCCACGGCUCAACCGUGGAGGGUCAUUGGAAACUGGGGGACUUGAGUGCAGAAGAGGAAAGCGGAAUUCCACGUGUAGCGGUGAAAUGCGUAGAGAUGUGGAGGAACACCAGUGGCGAAAGCGGCUUUCUGGUCUGUAACUGACGCUGAGGCGCGAAAGCGUGGGGAGCAAACAGGAUUAGAUACCCUGUAGUCCACGCCGUAAACGAUGAGUGCUAAGUGUUAGAGGGUUUCCGCCCUUUAGUGCUGCAGCUAACGCAUUAAGCACUCCGCCUGGGGAGUACGGCCGCAAGGCUGAAACUCAAAGGAAUUGACGG
Molecule: ribosomal RNA, 925 nt
Filed under: uncultured bacterium
Lineage: Bacteria
Description: bacterial SSU rRNA
Rfam family: Bacterial small subunit ribosomal RNA
Source: RNAcentral